Long non-coding RNA from Zootoca vivipara (common lizard), 748 nucleotides. RefSeq lists it as uncharacterized. The record is from RefSeq and is a predicted model, not a curated record. Lineage: Eukaryota; Metazoa; Chordata; Lepidosauria; Squamata; Lacertidae.
AGGCUUAGAAUCAUAGAAUCAUAGAGUUGGAAGAGACCACAAGGGCCAUCCAGUCCAACCCCCUGCCAAGCAGGAAACACCAUCAAAGCAUUCCUGACAGAUGGCUGUCAAGCCUCUGCUUAAAGACCUCCAAAGAAGGCUUAGUAGAGAGUAAACCACACUGAGCACAGCUUACACCCGAGUAAAUAUAAAUGUGAUUGCAAUGUCUGAGCACCAGCUGACUUCUUGCACAGGACAGAAGGAAGUACACCCAGGUCAUUUAAAGAUUUGUAAAAGGAUUCUACCGCUAAACAGAAACUCACAUGUGACCGAUGCUCUCAGUAUUUUUCAUUUUAUUUUGUCGCAUUUGCUCACAGGCAUGUACACACCUCGGCUACUUUCGCAAGCAACACUCUCACAAGUCUCUGGCGGUAGCAGCAGCCCCACACCAGCCUUGGUCACUCACCAAACUUGGAUGCUCUGCACCAGUCUCAGCCAUGAGCUCUUCCCUCCUGUUGUCAUCCCCAGAUUGCCUGGCAGGUACCGGUUUUAGUUUACACUCUUGACUUCUGUGCUAUAUGGACAAAGAGGGAAUGGAGCUGCUGUCAGGUUGUUUCCUUUCUUACAUGGUGUGCUGAGUCAUGCUGAUGGAAGUGGACUUUGUUUUUCAGCUACUUAGAGACAGACAAUAGUUUUUAUGAGUACUGAAAGUAGCUUGAGAGAGAUAACAUUUCCCAUGGUGUAUGCACAUGGUGUGUGCAUAUAAUUA